CAAAGGAGCAAUCCGCUGGAAGAUGGGCUCGCGGCCGAUUAGCUAGUUGGUGGGGCAACGGCCCACCAAGGCGACGAUCGGUAGCCGGACUGAGAGGUUGAUCGGCCACAUUGGGACUGAGACACGGCCCAGACUCCUAUGGGAGGCAGCAGUGGGGGAUAUUGCACAAUGGAGGAAACUCUGAUGCAGCGACGCCGCGUGAGGGAAGACGGUCUUCGGAUUGUAAACCUCUGUCUUUGGGGAAGAAAAUGACGGUACCCAAAGAGGAAGCUCCGGCUAACUACGUGCCAGCAGCCGCGGUAAUACGUAGGGAGCGAGCGUUGUCCGGAAUUACUGGGUGUAAAGGGAGCGUAGGCGGGCGAGAAAGUUGAAUGUUAAAUCUACCGGCUUAACUGGUAGCUGCGUUCAAAACUUCUUGUCUUGAGUGAAGUAGAGGCAGGCGGAAUUCCUAGUGUAGCGGUGAAAUGCGUAGAUAUUAGGAGGAACACCAGUGGCGAAGGCGGCCUGCUGGGCUUUAACUGACGCUGAGGCUCGAAAGCGUGGGGAGCAAACAGGAUUAGAUACCCUGGUAGUCCACGCUGUAAACGAUGAUUACUAGGUGUGGGGGGACUGACCCCUUCC
Molecule: ribosomal RNA, 621 nt
Filed under: uncultured bacterium
Lineage: Bacteria
Description: bacterial SSU rRNA
Rfam family: Bacterial small subunit ribosomal RNA
Source: RNAcentral